RNAcentral lists this long non-coding RNA (246 nucleotides) under Hordeum vulgare. RNAcentral's name for it is "long non-coding RNA (HVUL_LNC004899)". Lineage: Eukaryota; Viridiplantae; Streptophyta; Magnoliopsida; Poales; Poaceae. The record is from RNAcentral.
GAGAAGGUUGGACAAACACAAUCCACUAAUCCGGCGUUUUUAUUCCACGACAAGAGAAGAGAUUCAGUCGAGCAUCACACAAUCCGGCUACAAAUACCUCAAUCUAGAGCUACUCGAACUUGUAGUGCUUGUCGACGGCCUCGGUGACGUCCCAGGUGCAGCUCAUCCCCUUGGGGAACACCACCAGGUCCCCGGCAGCGAUCUCCACGAACCCCUCCUCGCCGUCCGGGUACACCUUCACCUUCC